This 504-nucleotide ribosomal RNA is filed under the name uncultured bacterium. Its description in RNAcentral is "bacterial SSU rRNA". It matches the Rfam family "Bacterial small subunit ribosomal RNA", at positions 8 to 507 of the family's 1533-position model. The record is from RNAcentral.
AGAGUUUGAUCAUGGCUCAGGAUGAACGCUAGCGGCAGGCUUAAUACAUGCAAGUCGAGGGGCAGCGGGUGUAGCAAUACAUGCCGGCGACCGGCGCACGGGUGCGUAACGCGUAUGUAACCUACCUUUAACUGGAGGAUAGCCCCGAGAAAUCGGGAUUAAUACUCCAUAAAAUUAUGAGAAGGCAUCUUUUUAUAAUUAAAGCUCCGGCGGUUUUAGAUGGGCAUGCGUGACAUUAGCUAGUUGGUGAGGUAACGGCUCACCAAGGCUCCGAUGUCUAGGGGUUCUGAGAGGAUUAACCCCCACACUGGUACUGAGACACGGACCAGACUCCUACGGGAGGCAGCAGUAAGGAAUAUUGGGCAAUGGACGCAAGUCUGACCCAGCCAUGCCGCGUGAAGGAUGACAGCCCUAUGGGUUGUAAACUUCUUUUGUACGGGAAAAAACCUUCGAACGUGUUCGAAGCUGAUGGUACCGUAAGAAUAAGCAUCGGCUAACUCCGUG